RNAcentral lists this transfer RNA (72 nucleotides) under Canis lupus familiaris (dog). It matches the Rfam family "tRNA". Rfam says of the family: Transfer RNA (tRNA) molecules are approximately 80 nucleotides in length. Their secondary structure includes four short double-helical elements and three loops (D, anti-codon, and T loops). Further hydrogen bonds mediate the characteristic L-shaped molecular structure. tRNAs have two regions of fundamental functional importance: the anti-codon, which is responsible for specific mRNA codon recognition, and the 3' end, to which the tRNAs corresponding amino acid is attached (by aminoacyl-tRNA synthetases). tRNAs cope with the degeneracy of the genetic code in two manners: having more than one tRNA (with a specific anti-codon) for a particular amino acid; and 'wobble' base-pairing, i.e. permitting non-standard base-pairing at the 3rd anti-codon position. Lineage: Eukaryota; Metazoa; Chordata; Mammalia; Carnivora; Canidae. RNAcentral also lists the same sequence under 1 other name. The record is from Rfam by way of RNAcentral.
GCCUAGCUGGUUCAGUUGGUGGAGCAUGAGACUCUUGAUCCCGGGGUCGUGAGUUUGACUCCAUGUUGGGCA